CAAGGCUUGACAUCGCCCGGAAACCCUCAGAGAUGGGGGCCUCCUUUGGACUGGGUGACAGGUGGUGCAUGGCUGUCGUCAGCUCGUGUCGUGAGAUGUUGGGUUAAGUCCCGCAACGAGCGCAACCCUUGUUCCAUGUUGCCAGCACGCCCUUCGGGGUGGUGGGGACUCAUGGGAGACCGCCGGGGUCAACUCGGAGGAAGGUGGGGACGACGUCAAGUCAUCAUGCCCCUUAUGUCUUGGGCUUCACGCAUGCUACAAUGGCCGGUACAAAGGGCUGCGAUACCGUAAGGUGGAGCGAAUCCCAAAAAGCCGGUCUCAGUUCGGAUUGGGGUCUGCAACUCGACCCCAUGAAGUCGGAGUCGCUAGUAAUCGCAGAUCAGCAACGCUGCGGUGAAUA
RNAcentral lists this ribosomal RNA (400 nucleotides) under uncultured bacterium. RNAcentral describes it as "bacterial SSU rRNA". It matches the Rfam family "Bacterial small subunit ribosomal RNA", at positions 975 to 1368 of the family's 1533-position model. The record is from RNAcentral.